GAUGAACGCUGGCGGCGUGCCUAAUACAUGCAAGUCGAGCGAACAGACGAGGAGCUUGCUCCUCUGACGUUAGCGGCGGACGGGUGAGUAACACGUGGAUAACCUACCUAUAAGACUGGGAUAACUUCGGGAAACCGGAGCUAAUACCGGAUAAUAUAUUGAACCGCAUGGUUCAAUAGUGAAAGACGGUUUUGCGGUCACUUAUAGAUGGAUCCGCGCCGCAUUAGCUAGUUGGUAAGGUAACGGCUUACCAAGGCAACGAUGCGUAGCCGACCUGGGAGGGGGAUCGGCCACACGGGAACUGAGACACGGUCCAGACUCCUACGGGAGGCAGCAGUAGGGAAUCUUCCGCAAUGGGCGAAAGCCUGACGGAGCAACGCCGCGUGAGUGAUGAAGGUCUUCGGAUCGUAAAACUCUGUUAUUAGGGAAGAACAAAUGUGUAAGUAACUAUGCACGUCUUGACGGUACCUAAUCAGAAAGCCACGGCUAACUACGUG
Molecule: ribosomal RNA, 497 nt
Filed under: uncultured bacterium
Lineage: Bacteria
Description: partial 16S ribosomal RNA
Rfam family: Bacterial small subunit ribosomal RNA
Source: RNAcentral